UCACCUGGAAUUUUGUAGUUGCCAACGUG
This 29-nucleotide non-coding RNA is filed under the name Bombyx mori (domestic silkworm). Lineage: Eukaryota; Metazoa; Arthropoda; Insecta; Lepidoptera; Bombycidae. The record is from RNAcentral.